RNAcentral lists this ribosomal RNA (407 nucleotides) under uncultured bacterium. Its description in RNAcentral is "partial 16S ribosomal RNA". It matches the Rfam family "Bacterial small subunit ribosomal RNA", at positions 30 to 526 of the family's 1533-position model. The record is from RNAcentral.
AUUGAACGCUGGCGGCAGGCCUAACACAUGCAAGUCGAGCGGAGCAGCGGACGGGUGAGUAAUGCCUAGGAAUCUGCCUGGUAGUGGGGGCUAACGUCCGGAAACGGGAGCUAAUACCGCAUACUAUCAGAUGAGCCUAGGUCGGAUAAGCUAGUUUGUGGGGUAAAGGCCUACCAGGGCGACGAUCCGUAACUGGUCUGAGAGGAUGAUCAGUCACACUGGAACUGAGACAAUGUCCAGACGCCUACGGGAGGCAGCAGUGGGGAAUAUUGGACAAGGGGCGAAAGCCUGAUCCAGCCAUGCCGCGUGUGUGAAGAAGUUCUUCGGAUUGUAAAGCACUUGAAGUUGGGAGGCGUUACCAACAGAAUAAGCACCGGCUAACGUCGUGCCAGCAGCCGCGGUAAUUC